This 59-nucleotide transfer RNA is filed under the name Simosciurus nebouxii. Its description in RNAcentral is "tRNA-Ser". The record is from RNAcentral. Lineage: Eukaryota; Metazoa; Chordata; Mammalia; Rodentia; Sciuridae.
AAGAAAGAACGCAAGAACUGCUAACUCAUGCCUCCACGCUUAAACCCGUGGCUUUCUUA